Molecule: long non-coding RNA, 81 nt
Organism: Aricia agestis (brown argus)
Lineage: Eukaryota; Metazoa; Arthropoda; Insecta; Lepidoptera; Lycaenidae
Exons: 3
Source: RefSeq, a predicted model, not a curated record
ACACAGAAAGAAAUACGACUGCUUAGCUCUAACAGAAAUUUCUUCCAGCAGUCCUACGGAGAGAAAUUACAUAGCAGAUAA